CCCAGACUCCUACGGGAGGCAGCAGUGGGGAAUAUUGGACAAUGGGGGGAACCCUGAUCCAGCGACGCCGCGUGAGUGAAGAAGUAUUUCGGUAUGUAAAGCUCUAUCAGCAGGGAAGAAGAAAUGACGGUACCUGACUAAGAAGCCCCGGCUAACUACGUGCCAGCAGCCGCGGUAAUACGUAGGGGGCAAGCGUUAUCCGGAUUUACUGGGUGUAAAGGGAGCGUAGACGGCAGUGCAAGUCUGAAGUGAAAGCCCCGGGCUUAACCCGGGAAUUGCUUUGGAAACUGUACGGCUGGAGUGCUGGAGAGGUAAGCGGAAUUCCUAGUGUAGCGGUGAAAUGCGUAGAUAUUAGGAGGAACACCAGUGGCGAAGGCGGCUUACUGGACAGUAACUGACGUUGAGGCUCGAAAGCGUGGGGAGCAAACAGGAUUAGAUACCCGGGUAUCG
Molecule: ribosomal RNA, 450 nt
Filed under: uncultured bacterium
Lineage: Bacteria
Description: bacterial SSU rRNA
Rfam family: Bacterial small subunit ribosomal RNA
Source: RNAcentral